Aedes aegypti (yellow fever mosquito) is the source of this 1176-nucleotide long non-coding RNA. RefSeq lists it as uncharacterized. The record is from RefSeq and is a predicted model, not a curated record. The transcript has 2 exons. NCBI's taxonomy places the organism in Eukaryota, Metazoa, Arthropoda, Insecta, Diptera, Culicidae.
UGCUGCUUUGUGUUUUGGUUGACUGGCAGAAUCGAUGAACUGUGGCAAAUUGUGAUCACAGUUCCCAAGCCUGAUCACAAACAGUCAAUUUCAUGUUGAACAAUACGAGAUCCCACAUUUUAAACAAUAAAGAAAAGUUUAUGUAAUCCGUGCCAUACAGUAACAAUUUAUUAUGCUGUCGUGAUACUGUUAAAUGAUAUAUGGAUGAAGGAUCGCGAGAUAUGGUAGAAAAAUAUCAUUACAUUCUGACGAAUUGUUGUUAAUUAUAUUUGCGCAACACACUACUACACGUACACUUCACUGUAUGUUACAGAUCUUCGACAGUUUGGCAAACAGUAUCACGUUUUGGUAUUCGUAUACGAAAAAAAAACAUCACUCUGCUGCACACGCUCAACAAAAAUUGAAGAAUGGUUAAGUAGGUUUCAUGAAACAGACAUUCUUUUACUUGAUUUUCACAUAUCUCAUCCGAAAAAAAAAUGCACGACUGAGGGUACAAUACAAAUUUUGUUUCGGUUUCAAUCUUAUUUUCACUUUUUUGUUCGGGAUUUUAAAAAAAACUUUUUUGUGACUGUGAAAAUUCGAAACUUAUGUGUAAUUUUUUGAGCGCGUUAAGUUUGUUUGCCUCCCACGUAGAAAAAAAGAAAAAAUGUUGUGAAGCGAAAAAAGGUGAAUCAAUUUGUGUUGAAUGUUGUAUUUUUCAAAAAGAAGUGUUCCAAUGAGGUUUGUACUACUUUUCGGGAACGAAAACCUCUGCGCCUUGUGUAAAAUUGAAACCUCCGGAUGUGAAGCCUGCAUCAAAACCAAUUCAAACACAACAUCCCGCUCGGACCGAUGUUCCCCAAUCGAUAUAUCCCCGUAGGGUUCGUCACCGCUCGGUCCCCAGCAAUCAACAAGCGGAUUAUCUACAACAAGCAUUCGACGGAUAACACUUUCGGUGAACCUAAAUCAUUGCAAACCCGGGCCAAAUUCAGCACAUUUUAUAGAUGUGAUCGCGUACCUAGUUGGGAUCUGUUUCCCUUCGGCAAAAGGAAAUGACACCGGCCGGAAUUCAGCAGCUUUAGCCAAUCAGAAGAGCUCGGCAAAAGUGAUUUUUGUGUGACUUCGCAAAUCUAGGAAAUCCAGGAAAUGAUUUCAUUUUUAUAAGUGAAAAUAUAUUAUAAACUUUUCAACAUUGUG